Molecule: ribosomal RNA, 432 nt
Filed under: uncultured bacterium
Lineage: Bacteria
Description: partial 16S ribosomal RNA
Rfam family: Bacterial small subunit ribosomal RNA
Source: RNAcentral
AACGAACGCUGGCGGCAGGCCUAACACAUGCAAGUCGAGCGAGCAUUUCGGUGCUAGCGGCGGACGGGUGAGUAACGCGUGGGAACGUGCCCUUUUCUGCGGAAUAGUCCUGGGAAACUGGGGGUAAUACCGCAUACGCCCUUUUGGGGAAAGAUUUAUCGGAGAAGGAUCGGCCCGCGUUGGAUUAGGUAGUUGGUGGGGUAAUGGCCCACCAAGCCGACGAUCCAUAGCUGGUUUGAGAGGAUGAUCAGCCACACUGGGACUGAGACACGGCCCAGACUCCUACGGGAGGCAGCAGUGGGGAAUCUUAGACAAUGGGGGCAACCCUGAUCUAGCCAUGCCGCGUGAGUGAUGAAGGCCUUAGGGUUGUAAAGCUCUUUCAGCGGGGAAGAUAAUGACGGUACCAGCAGAAGAAACCCCGGCUAACUCCGU